UCAUAUUCACAUAUAACACAAAAACAAUUAACUACAAAAGUGGUCCCUUUGUGGAAAAGGUUUCAAUUCUGGACUAAACACGAUAAAAAUCCAAAACGAAGGGAAGAUUUUUGUAAAUUCAUAAGAAAAUUUAUUCUAUUUCUAUAAACCAACCAAACAUAACGAAUCUUUCCAUUCCUACAUGUGUACGGAUGUUUCUAAUGUUUCUUGGUUUCGAAGAAAUUUUGCACAAGUAAAAUGUACCAGUGCCUACAAUAACCUUCUCAUGGCAUGUUAGUUUUAUAUAAUUUUCUUUUUAAUUCUUAUUGUGUUUUACUAAACUUUUUCCAUUUUACAAAGUGUUGAAGAAGCAGAGUGUGAAAGGGCAUAUGGGUUGGCUAGUGAUCUCUAUGUGUCAAUCUUUGAUCGUACAAAGGCCACCUGAGUUGCAAUGAGAGAAGCACAUGAAGAGGUUGUGCAAAAGGCGAUGUCCAUUUUUAACGCCAUUUCAGUGGGAUUUGGUUCUGCUAGACAAAAAUACGAAAAAAAAUUCAUAUGUUUUUGAAAAAGGCUUUUGAGGAUCAUAAAAAGAAAGACUUAUGUCUCAAACCAAAUUACCUUAGUUGAGAUGCAACACGGACAAUAUGAGGAUAUUCAACAGAAAAAU
This is a long non-coding RNA of Lactuca sativa (garden lettuce), 646 nucleotides long. RefSeq lists it as uncharacterized. The record is from RefSeq and is a predicted model, not a curated record. NCBI's taxonomy places the organism in Eukaryota, Viridiplantae, Streptophyta, Magnoliopsida, Asterales, Asteraceae.